Molecule: ribosomal RNA, 495 nt
Filed under: uncultured bacterium
Lineage: Bacteria
Description: bacterial SSU rRNA
Rfam family: Bacterial small subunit ribosomal RNA
Source: RNAcentral
AUGAACGCUAGCGACAGGCCUAACACAUGCAAGUCGAGGGGCAGCACAAGGAGCAAUCUGAGGUGGCGACCGGCGCACGGGUGAGUAACACGUAUGCAACCUGCCUGUAAGCGGGGAAUAACCCGUUGAAAGACGGACUAAUACCGCAUAAUACUAAAUUACUGCAUGGUAAUUUAUUUAAACAUUUAUGGCUUACAGAUGGGCAUGCGCAUGAUUAGCUAGUUGGAGAGGUGACGGCUCCCCAAGGCAACGAUCAUUAGGGGUUCUGAGAGGAAGGUCCCCCACACUGGUACUGAGACACGGACCAGACUCCUACGGGAGGCAGCAGUGAGGAAUAUUGGUCAAUGGACGAGAGUCUGAACCAGCCAAGUCGCGUGCAGGAAGAAUGUCCUAAUGGAUUGUAAACUGCUUUUGCAGGGGAAUAAAGUGCAUCACGUGUGAUGUUUUGUAUGUACUCUGCGAAUAAGGAUCGGCUAACUCCGUGCCAGCAGCGGC